Molecule: ribosomal RNA, 253 nt
Filed under: uncultured bacterium
Lineage: Bacteria
Description: partial 16S ribosomal RNA
Rfam family: Bacterial small subunit ribosomal RNA
Source: RNAcentral
UACGGAGGGUGCAAGCGUUAAUCGGAAUUACUGGGCGUAAAGCGUGCGCAGGCGGUUUGUUAAGUCUGUUGUGAAAUCCCCGAGCUCAACUUGGGAAUUGCAAUGGAUACUGGCAGGCUGGAGUAUGGUAGAGGAGGGUGGAAUUCCCGGUGUAGCAGUGAAAUGCGUAGAGAUCGGGAGGAACACCAGUGGCGAAGGCGGCCUUCUGGACCAAUACUGACGCUCAUGCACGAAAGCGUGGGGAGCAAACAGG